AUUGAACGCUGGCGGAAUGCUUUACACAUGCAAGUCGAACGGCAGCACGGACUUCGGUCUGGUGGCGAGUGGCGAACGGGUGAGUAACAUAUCGGAACGUAUCCAAUAAUGGGGGAUAACGAGUCGAAAGAUUCGCUAAUACCGCAUACGCCCUACGGGGGAAAGGUGGGGACCUUCGGGCCUGGCGUUAAUGGAGCGGCCGAUACCUGAUUAGCUAGUUGGUGGGGUAAAGGCUCACCAAGGCGACGAUCAGUAGCUGGUCCGAGAGGACGACCAGCCACACUGGAACUGAGACACGGUCCAGACUCCUACGGGAGGCAGCAGUGGGGAAUUUUGGACAAUGGGCGCAAGCCUGAUCCAGCCAUUCCGCGUGAGUGAAGAAGGCCUUCGGGUUGUAAAGCUCUUUCGCAAGGGAAGAAAACUUAGCCACUAACAUUGGUUGAGGUUGACGGUACCUUGAUAAGAAGCACCGGCUAACUACGUGCCAGCCGCCGCCGUAA
RNAcentral lists this ribosomal RNA (500 nucleotides) under uncultured bacterium. RNAcentral describes it as "partial 16S ribosomal RNA". It matches the Rfam family "Bacterial small subunit ribosomal RNA", at positions 30 to 523 of the family's 1533-position model. The record is from RNAcentral.